This 352-nucleotide unclassified non-coding RNA is filed under the name soil metagenome. RNAcentral describes it as "partial contains 5.8S ribosomal RNA, internal transcribed spacer 2, and large subunit ribosomal RNA". The stretch from base 1 to 120 matches the Rfam family "5.8S ribosomal RNA", at positions 35 to 154 of the family's 154-position model. The record is from RNAcentral.
GAUGAAGAACGUAGCGAAAUGCGAUAAGUAAUGUGAAUUGCAGAAUUCAGUGAAUCAUCGAAUCUUUGAACGCACAUUGCGCCCGCCAGUAUUCUGGCGGGCAUGCCUGUUCGAGCGUCAUUACAACCCUCAGGCCCCCGGGCCUGGCGUUGGGGAUCGGCGGAGCCCCCCGUGGGCACACGCCGUCCCCCAAAUGCAGUGGCGGUCCCGCCGCAGCUUCCAUCGCGUAGUAGCUAACACCUCGCGACUGGAGAGCGGCGCGGCCACGCCGUAAAACCCCCAACUCUUCUGAAGUUGACCUCGAAUCAGGUAGGAAUACCCGCUGAACUUAAGCAUAUCAAUAAGCGGAGGA